This 1242-nucleotide ribosomal RNA is filed under the name metagenome. RNAcentral describes it as "bacterial SSU rRNA". It matches the Rfam family "Bacterial small subunit ribosomal RNA", at positions 157 to 1433 of the family's 1533-position model. The record is from RNAcentral.
CUACUGCUAACACCCGAUGUGCCUGAAAAGGUGAAAAAUUAAUUGCCUAGAGAGAGGCUCGCGUCCGAUUAGCUAGUUGGCGGGGUAAAAGCCCACCAAGGCAGUGAUCGGUAGCUGGUCUGAGAGGAUGAACAGCCACACUGGGACUGAGACACGGCCCAGACUCCUACGGGAGGCAGCAGUGGGGAAUUUUCCGCAAUGGGCGAAAGCCUGACGGAGCAAUACCGCGUGAGGGAAGAAGGUCUUUGGAUUGUAAAUCUCUUUUCUCAGGGAAGAUAAUGACGGUACCUGAGGAAUAAGCAUCGGCUAACUCCGUGCCAGCAGCCGCGGUAAUACGGAGGAUGCAAGCGUUAUCCGGAAUCAUUGGGCGUAAAGCGUCCGUAGGUGGUUAGUCAAGUCCAUUGUCAAAGAAAGCAGCUUAACUGCAGGCAGGCAGUGGAAACUGAAAAACUAGAGCCAAAUAGGGGUAGAGGGAAUUCCCGGUGUAGCGGUGAAAUGCGUAGAGAUCGGGAAGAACACCAGUGGCGAAAGCGCUCUACUGGAUUAAGGCUGACACUGAGGGACGAAAGCUAGGGGAGCGAAAGGGAUUAGAUACCCCUGUAGUCCUAGCCGUAAACGAUGGAUACUAGGUGUUGUUAAGAGCAAUCUAAAUAGUGCCGUAGCUAACGCGAUAAGUAUCCCGCCUGGGGAGUACGCACGCAAGUGUGAAACUCAAAGGAAUUGACGGGGGCCCGCACAAGCGGUGGAGUAUGUGGUUUAAUUCGAUGCAACGCGCAGAACCUCACCUGGGUUUGACAUCUCUGGAAUCGGUGGGAAACUACCGAGUGCCGUAAGGAACCAGAAGACAGGUGGUGCAUGGCUGUCGUCAGCUCGUGUCGUGAGAUGUUGGGUUAAGUCCCGCAACGAGCGCAACCCUCGUGCUUAGUUACCAUCAUUAAGUUGGGGACUCUAGGCAGACUGCCGGUGACAAACCGGAGGAAGGUGGGGAUGACGUCAAGUCAGCAUGCCCCUUACACUCAGGGCGACACACGUACUACAAUGCUCUGGACAAACAGUAGCCAACCUGCAAAGGCGAGCAAAUCUGAUAAACCUGGGCUCAGUUCAGAUCGCCGGCUGCAACUCGCCGGCGUGAAGGAGGAAUCGCUAGUAAUCGCAGGUCAGCAUACUGCGGUGAAUCCGUUCCCGGGCCUUGUACACAUCGCCCGUCACACCAUGGGAGCUGGCCACGCCCGAAGUCGUUAC